CCUACGGGGGGCAGCAGUAGGGAAUCUUCCACAAUGGGCGAAAGCCUGAUGGAGUAACGCCGCGUGGGUGAAGAAGGUCUUCGGAUCGUAAAACUCUGUUGUUAGAGAAGAAAGUGCGUGAGAGUAACUGUUCACGUUUCGACGGUAUCUAACCAGAAAGCCACGGCUAACUACGUGCCAGCAGCCGCGGUAAUACGUAGGUGGCAAGCGUUAUCCGGAUUUAUUGGGCGUAAAGGGAACGCAGGCGGUCUUUUAAGUCUGAUGUGAAAGCCUUCGGCUUAACCGGAGUAGUGCAUUGGAAACUGGGAGACUUGAGUGCAGAAGAGGAAAGUGGAACUCCGUGUGUAGCGGUGAAAUGCGUAGAUAUAUGGAAGAACACCAGUGGCGAAAGCGGCUCUCUGGUCUGUAACUGACGCUGAGGUUCGAAAGCGUGGGUAGCAAACAGGAUUAGAUACCCCAGUAGUC
RNAcentral lists this ribosomal RNA (465 nucleotides) under uncultured bacterium. RNAcentral describes it as "partial 16S ribosomal RNA". It matches the Rfam family "Bacterial small subunit ribosomal RNA", at positions 338 to 795 of the family's 1533-position model. The record is from RNAcentral.